GACGAACGCUGGCGGCGUGCUUAACACAUGCAAGUCGAACGGAAAGGCCCUGCUUGCGGGGUACUCGAGUGGCGAACGGGUGAGUAACACGUGGGUGAUCUGCCCUGCACUUCGGGAUAAGCCUGGGAAACUGGGUCUAAUACCGGAUAGGAGCCAUUUUUAGUGUGAUGGUUGGAAAGUUUUUUCGGUGUAGGAUGAGCUCGCGGCCUAUCAGCUUGUUGGUGGGGUAAUGGCCUACCAAGGCGGCGACGGGUAGCCGGCCUGAGAGGGUGGACGGCCACAUUGGGACUGAGAUACGGCCCAGACUCCUACGGGAGGCAGCAGUGGGGAAUAUUGCACAAUGGGCGCAAGCCUGAUGCAGCGACGCCGCGUGGGGGAUGACGGCCUUCGGGUUGUAAACUCCUUUCGCUAGGGACGAAGCUUUUUGUGACGAUACCUGGAUAAGAAGCACCGGCUAACUACGUG
This 465-nucleotide ribosomal RNA is filed under the name uncultured bacterium. Its description in RNAcentral is "partial 16S ribosomal RNA". It matches the Rfam family "Bacterial small subunit ribosomal RNA", at positions 28 to 507 of the family's 1533-position model. The record is from RNAcentral.